AUGCUAGCCUGGCGGGGCGAUACCGUGAUUACAAAGGUGGUUUUCCCAGGGUGAAGCUUCUCCAGUGCACUCUGGAUGUGCUAACCCCUGUGACUUCCCCAAAUGUGGGAACUUUAACUGCAUAANNN
RNAcentral lists this small nuclear RNA (128 nucleotides) under Erinaceus europaeus (western European hedgehog). RNAcentral describes it as "U1 spliceosomal RNA". It matches the Rfam family "U1 spliceosomal RNA". From Rfam's summary of the family: U1 is a small nuclear RNA (snRNA) component of the spliceosome (involved in pre-mRNA splicing). Its 5' end forms complementary base pairs with the 5' splice junction, thus defining the 5' donor site of an intron. There are significant differences in sequence and secondary structure between metazoan and yeast U1 snRNAs, the latter being much longer (568 nucleotides as compared to 164 nucleotides in human). The record is from Rfam by way of RNAcentral. Lineage: Eukaryota; Metazoa; Chordata; Mammalia; Eulipotyphla; Erinaceidae.